UACGUAGGGGGCUAGCGUUGUCCGGAAUCAUUGGGCGUAAAGCGCGUGUAGGCGGUCCGGUAAGUCCGCUGUGAAAGUCGGGGGCUCAACCCUCGAAAGCCGGUGGAUACUGUUGGGCUAGAGUACGGAAGAGGCGAGUGGAAUUCCUGGUGUAGCGGUGAAAUGCGCAGAUAUCAGGAGGAACACCAAUUGCGAAGGCAGCUCGCUGGGACGUUACUGACGCUGAGACGCGAAAGCGUGGGGAGCGAACAGG
RNAcentral lists this ribosomal RNA (253 nucleotides) under uncultured bacterium. RNAcentral describes it as "partial 16S ribosomal RNA". It matches the Rfam family "Bacterial small subunit ribosomal RNA", at positions 524 to 776 of the family's 1533-position model. The record is from RNAcentral.